GCAGGCACCGAGAGGACCCACCAGACUUAAGCAUAUCAGUAAGUGGAGGAGCGGAAACUAACAAGGACACCCCCAGUAGCAGCGAGCGAAGCGGGUCCAGCCCGGUUGGAAACAGAUUUAUCUGAGAUGUACGGCGAUGCAGAGCGAACGCGGACGGAGACGCGUCCACAGAGGGUGCGAGACCCGUAGCAGGGCAGCCGAUGGCGAGUAGUGCUGUGCGGACACACAGGGCGAAUGGUGACGGAGACACCGAAGGCUAAGUACACGGAGAGACCGAUAGGGCAGAGUACCGAGAGGGAAGGGUGAAAAGAACCUCGGAAGGGGGGUGAGAAGACGUGAAACGGGCCGGGCGGAAGGGCAGACACGUGUGCCACCCGUCUUGAAACACGGACCAAGGAGGUGUUCCCCGUGGCGGGGCUUAACGGGGCAUAGGCACGGGGAGCAGACCCGAAAGGCGGUGAACUAUUCCGGGCCAGGAUGAAGCCGGAGAAAGCGCUGGUGGAGGUCCGAGGCGGAUCUGACGUGCAAAUCGAGCGUUUGAGCCAGGAAUAGGGGCGAAAGACCCAUCGAACCGCCUAGUAGCUGGUUCCGGCCGAAAUGUCUCGCAGGACAGCACACGCGGGCGGUGGUGGGCAGUAGAGACCUGUCGCGUAGGUUGGGGCAACCCAGGCUUGGGGCAAACUUCGAAGGCGCACGCACGGGGGCGUGUAGUGGGGUGUUGGUGGUAAGCAGCAGCAGCGACGCGGGAUGAACCGAGGGAGACGCUAAGGCGCCGGACGUGCCGGGGAAAAGGAGCGGCGCGCAUGGAGACAGCAGGGCAGUGGCCAUGGAGGUUGGCAUCUGGGAAGAAGUGUGUUGCAACUUGCCUGCCGAAUGCGGGGCCGGCCGAAAAUGGAUGGCCGGGCACGGGCCGACGCGUCUCGUGAUUGAAGAAGAUCAGGGUAGGCCGGCGCGGCACGGGCGGGGAAGCGCGUCUGCAGAGGGGCGUGGAGCGCGUGGCGGUGCAGAUCUUGGAGGGAGUAGCAGCGAGUCACGAGAGAGCCGGGAGCAGGGUUCCGCGGUGCUGAGGGACAGCCGCGGGUGACACGAGCCUAAUUUUCAAUCGAAAGGGCAGCCGUAGUGCGGCGGGGCUGCAGGGGUGGCGACAGGCGCGGGUGUCGAGGCGCACGGCACGAGUGGGCUGCGGGUGUGCAGCUUGAGGGCCGCGGGUGUCCGGAUCGUUGUGAGGCGACGGAGACGCGGGCACGGAACACACGGGGGGUGGGCAGCGUGAAAAGACAGCGCGGGCAGCAGCGAUCGUACCGAACCGCAACAGGGCUCCAGCAUGCGAAUGCACGGCGACGGGGGAAUGUGUGUAAGGGAAGUCGGCAAGCUUGGCCUGUAACCUCGGGAGAAGGGGUGGCUCCGCGCAGAGCGCAGGAACCUACGGCGCGGGGAACCCGACUGUUUUGUAAAAACAUAGCGUUGUGGACGCACGCAACGUGAGUUCUGCCCAGUGCCCGGGAGUCAAUGCGGGGAGUUCCGCGGACGCACGGGUAAACGGCGGGAGUAACUAUGACUCUCUUAAGGUAGCCAAAUGCCUCGUCAUCUAAUUAGUGACGUGCAUGAAUGGAUCAGCGAGGUUCCCACUGUCCCUAUGCGCGGCCCGGCGAAACCACAGCCAGGGGAACGGGCCUGGCCACGCCAGCGGGGAAAGAAGACCCUGUUGAGCUUGACUGCAGUUUUCCCUCGAGCAGCCGCCGCGGGGCCUAGGAAGGGGGGAGGAUGCGCCUGUGGAAGACCCCCACGCGCGGCAGGCUCCUCCAGCGCGGAAGAUGGGCAGUUUGGCUGGGGCGGCACGGCUGCGAGAGCGGAGCGCAGGCGUCCCAACGUCGGCGCACCACGGGGCGAAACCGUGGGUGGCGCAGAAGGGCGCAAGCCGGCGUGACGGCACACAGUGCUGGUGCGAAAGCAGGGCCUAGCGAUCCUCCGCUGCGGCUUGCGCGGGCGGAGGUGACGGAAAAGUUACCACAGGGAUAACUGGCUUGUGGCUGCCAAGCGUCCACAGCGACGCAGCCUUUUGAUUCUUCGAUGUCGGCUCUUCCUAGCGUGGCGUUGCACAGGGCGCCAAGCGUUGGAUUGUUCACCCACCAACAGGGAACGUGAGCUGGGUUUAGACCGUCGCGAGACAGGUUAGUCUUACCCUACUGGCCGCGGGGGCGGAAGCUGCGCGCAGUACGAGAGGAACCGCGUGGCCGUGCCGCUGGCGGAGGGCGUGUGUGCCCAUGCUGCCCCGAAGCUACGCACGUGCGUGAAGCGCUGGAAGCCUCUAAGCGCGGACCGCUGCCGCACCCGAUGGAGUGCCGGCACACGACCGGCGAGCGCGCAUGUGUAAGGCGCAAGCAGAGCGAGUGUCUGAGCAUAGCGCAGGGGCAGGGUGCACUAUACUCUCACAUAUUUUCUUGUUAUU
This 2449-nucleotide ribosomal RNA is filed under the name Amphiamblys sp. WSBS2011. RNAcentral's name for it is "partial 28S ribosomal RNA". It matches the Rfam family "Eukaryotic large subunit ribosomal RNA". Lineage: Eukaryota; Fungi; Microsporidia; Amphiacanthidae. The record is from RNAcentral.